GACGAACGCUGGCGGCGUGCUUAACACAUGCAAGUCGAACGGAAAGGCCCUGCUUUUGUGGGGUGCUCGAGUGGCGAACGGGUGAGUAACACGUGAGUAACCUGCCCUUGACUUUGGGAUAACUUCAGGAAACUGGGGCUAAUACCGGAUAGGAGCUCCUGCUGCAUGGUGGGGGUUGGAAAGUUUCGGCGGUUGGGGAUGGACUCGCGGCUUAUCAGCUUGUUGGUGGGGUAGUGGCUUACCAAGGCUUUGACGGGUAGCCGGCCUGAGAGGGUGACCGGCCACAUUGGGCCUGAGAUACGGCCCAGACUCCUACGGGAGGCAGCAGUGGGGAAUAUUGCACAAUGGGCGGAAGCCCGAUGCAGCAACGCCGCGUGCGGGAUGACGGCCUUCGGGUUGUAAACCGCUUUCGCCUGUGACGAAGCGUGAGUGACGGUAAUGGGUAAAGAAGCACCGGCUAACUACGU
Molecule: ribosomal RNA, 467 nt
Filed under: uncultured bacterium
Lineage: Bacteria
Description: partial 16S ribosomal RNA
Rfam family: Bacterial small subunit ribosomal RNA
Source: RNAcentral